UUGUAAAAUUGUGAUCUGCCUGUUUUUAGUCUUUCCUCCAAUUGGUUGUUGACUCUCUUUCUUUUGUCUGUUUUAAAGUCUUUCUACAAACAUGUCUGAAGUCCAGCAGCUGAAGGACAUGUUGAAACUACAGCUAAUACGUGCUGAUGAAGGAAUGAUCACAGACCAGCAAG
Molecule: long non-coding RNA, 173 nt
Organism: Thalassophryne amazonica
Lineage: Eukaryota; Metazoa; Chordata; Actinopteri; Batrachoidiformes; Batrachoididae
Exons: 3
Source: RefSeq, a predicted model, not a curated record